UAGAACUCGGCACGGUCGUUUUCGAGUAC
RNAcentral lists this small RNA (29 nucleotides) under Bombyx mori (domestic silkworm). RNAcentral's name for it is "ovarian small RNA-21787". Lineage: Eukaryota; Metazoa; Arthropoda; Insecta; Lepidoptera; Bombycidae. The record is from RNAcentral.